GUUUUGGACGCAUCAUCUCAUUAUUAUUUCGGUUGUUCCAUCCAAAAUUCAAAAGUACGCUGUACGCUGCGCGUGAUGGCUCCGAAGGAAGGCCCUCCCAAAAUUUUAUUUACUGUUGUUGCUUAGCUGAAUUGAAUUGAAUUGAGUUCCCACCACACAGUUGUUUUGGCUGUAGUGGCUGUGGACGACAACGCUCAUGCAAAUGGCGGCCGCACCGGGUUACCGUACUCUGACGUUUCGGCCAGUGUGUAUUCACCUGAUUUAAGUGCAUAUGUGGUGUGUACGUGAAAGUGCCUUGCAAGGCCAAGUCGGGCCGUCGUUCCAACGAGUUGUAUAAUUCGCAGUCUGACACAUGCUAUUUAUUAAAUCUGGUCUGGUCUGGGUAGACACUACUGCAAAGAGCGGUUUAAGAUCCUGGGUUCGAUUCCCGGGAAGACCCCCGGAUUACUCGGGAGAACGAGAUUAAGGCUAGCUGCUGAGAUGUGGAGUUGAGGUCACAGUUGAUGAACCAGAUUCGCACGCUGGGUCGGUGGCGAUUGCCAAACCCUCCGACUCUUCGGAUGUUCGGGUGAAUGAUGAGGAGGGGUCCCUGAAGGCUGGAUCCGCCGCCUUGGACUUACAGUUCGUAUGGCGAAGACAGUGUGGUAGUGGUGGAUGGUGCUAUAAGGUGAUAAAUCGUAGAACUGACAAUGUGAUAAAGUGGCCCAGAAGCCUCCCACUCUGUAACAUUACAUUGUCAACACCUUUUCCUCAAAGUGUGAAGAUUCUAGAGAGAUUCGUUGCUUUUACGGCAGUGCCGUACCGUACACGUCACCACAUCAAACAUGCUGCGUGAUUCCUGCUUGCUGGAUCUGGACCUGAAUCUGGAAUCUACGUAGCCUGACUCACCUUUUGAGUUUUAAACACACAUCGCCUGGAUCUGGAUCUCGAUCUGGAACUGAAUCCUGCCAGGACGCACCCGUACACAAUCUUUGCCUGUCUUCCCCGCCCAUCUCCGCCCGUCGGCGCGCAGAUUUAUACCACAGAUAAACUACUGUUCACAUAAUCUCUAUAUAUAGUAUAGCCGUUUUGGUGAUGUGUACGUCGUUGUACGUCGGCGGCGGCGCCAGAUGGCCUCCUAGGAAUUCGUUCCGUCGUCUGUCUGUCUGUCUGUCUGUCUGUCUGUCUGUCUGUCUGUCUGUCUGUCUGUCUGUCUGUCUGUCUGUCUGUCUGUCUGUCUGUCUGUCUGUC
Molecule: long non-coding RNA, 1230 nt
Filed under: Volvox carteri
Lineage: Eukaryota; Viridiplantae; Chlorophyta; Chlorophyceae; Chlamydomonadales; Volvocaceae
Description: long non-coding RNA (VCAR_LNC002349)
Source: RNAcentral